This 492-nucleotide ribosomal RNA is filed under the name uncultured bacterium. Its description in RNAcentral is "partial 16S ribosomal RNA". It matches the Rfam family "Bacterial small subunit ribosomal RNA", at positions 29 to 507 of the family's 1533-position model. The record is from RNAcentral.
AGUGAACGCUGGCGGUAGGCCUAACACAUGCAAGUCGAACGGCAGCACAGUAAGAGCUUGCUCUUACGGGUGGCGAGUGGCGGACGGGUGAGGAAUACAUCGGAAUCUACUUUUUCGUGGGGGAUAACGUAGGGAAACUUACGCUAAUACCGCAUACGACCUACGGGUGAAAGCAGGGGAUCUUCGGACCUUGCGCGAUUGAAUGAGCCGAUGUCGGAUUAGCUAGUUGGCGGGGUAAAGGCCCACCAAGGCGACGAUCCGUAGCUGGUCUGAGAGGAUGAUCAGCCACACUGGAACUGAGACACGGUCCAGACUCCUACGGGAGGCAGCAGUGGGGAACAUUGGACAAUGGGCGCAAGCCUGAUCCAGCCAUACCGCGUGGGUGAAGAAGGCCUUCGGGUUGUAAAGCCCUUUUGUUGGGAAAGAAAAGCAGCAGGUUAAUACGCCGCUGUUCUGACGGUACCCAAAGAAUAAGCACCGGCUAACUUCGUG